RNAcentral lists this long non-coding RNA (277 nucleotides) under Lathyrus oleraceus (garden pea). RNAcentral describes it as "Pisum sativum (pea) long non-coding RNA (PSAT_LNC001176)". Lineage: Eukaryota; Viridiplantae; Streptophyta; Magnoliopsida; Fabales; Fabaceae. The record is from RNAcentral.
CAACCCUAGUUUUCUCUCUUUCUUCAUCCAUUAAAGAGGUGUGGAUUUUAUGAUUAAUUUUUUAUCCAAAAUCACCCCUCUAAAUUAUUUUUUCUUUCCUUUUUAUUCAAAUAAGUGAUUUCACAUGUAUUUUUAAUUUUUUCUUUGUGAUUUCGUUGUCUUAAUGCGAUGUUGUGUUGGUCGUCGUCUUAUUGCAGCGUUAUUUGUUUUUCCGUCUUGUAGCGAUGUUUGUUCGAUUCAGAUUGACAUAUUAGUUUCAACUCAAUGCAUAUUCUAU